GCUCGGAUGGUGGAAUUGGUAGACACGUUGGACUUAAAAUCCAAUGAUCAUCGCGAUCGUGCGGGUUCAAGUCCCGCUCCGAGUA
RNAcentral lists this transfer RNA (85 nucleotides) under Halosquirtibacter laminarini. Its description in RNAcentral is "tRNA-Leu". It matches the Rfam family "tRNA". From Rfam's summary of the family: Transfer RNA (tRNA) molecules are approximately 80 nucleotides in length. Their secondary structure includes four short double-helical elements and three loops (D, anti-codon, and T loops). The record is from RNAcentral. Lineage: Bacteria; Pseudomonadati; Bacteroidota; Bacteroidia; Marinilabiliales; Prolixibacteraceae.